This 466-nucleotide ribosomal RNA is filed under the name uncultured bacterium. RNAcentral's name for it is "partial 16S ribosomal RNA". It matches the Rfam family "Bacterial small subunit ribosomal RNA", at positions 30 to 507 of the family's 1533-position model. The record is from RNAcentral.
CGACCGCUGGCGGCGUGCUUAACACAUGCAAGUCGAACGGAAAGGCCCUGCUUUUGUGGGGUGCUCGAGUGGCGAACGGGUGAGUAACACGUGAGUAACCUGCCCUUGACUUUGGGAUAACUUCAGGAAACUGGGGCUAAUACCGGAUAGGAGCUCCUGCUGCAUGGUGGGGGUUGGAAAGCUUCGGCGGUUGGGGAUGGACUCGCGGCUUAUCAGCUUGUUGGUGGGGUAGUGGCUUACCAAGGCUUUGACGGGUAGCCGGCCUGAGAGGGUGACCGGCCACAUUGGGACUGAGAUACGGCCCAGACUCCUACGGGAGGCAGCAGUGGGGAAUAUUGCACAAUGGGCGGAAGCCUGAUGCAGCAACGCCGCGUGCGGGAUGACGGCCUUCGGGUUGUAAACCGCUUUCGCCUGUGACGAAGCGUGAGUGACGGUAAUGGGUAAAGAAGCACCGGCUAACUACGUG